AUACUUACCUAGCAAGGGAGAUAUCAUGAUCAUGAAGGUGAUUUUCUCAGGGCGAGGCUCACCCAUUGCCCUCGGGAUGUGCUGACCCCUGCAAUUUCCCCAAAUGUGGGAAACUCAACUGCAUAAUUUGCUGUAAUGGGGGACUGCGUUUGCGCUCUCCCCUG
Molecule: small nuclear RNA, 164 nt
Organism: Echinops telfairi (small Madagascar hedgehog)
Lineage: Eukaryota; Metazoa; Chordata; Mammalia; Afrosoricida; Tenrecidae
Product: U1 spliceosomal RNA
Exons: 1
Source: RefSeq, a predicted model, not a curated record